UGAGGGAUGGCUCAGUGGUAGAGUGUAUGCUUAGCAUGCAGGAGGUCCUGGGUUCUAAUCCCCAGUACCUCCA
RNAcentral lists this transfer RNA (73 nucleotides) under Camelus bactrianus (Bactrian camel). It matches the Rfam family "tRNA". Rfam says of the family: Transfer RNA (tRNA) molecules are approximately 80 nucleotides in length. Their secondary structure includes four short double-helical elements and three loops (D, anti-codon, and T loops). Lineage: Eukaryota; Metazoa; Chordata; Mammalia; Artiodactyla; Camelidae. RNAcentral also lists the same sequence under 2 other names. The record is from Rfam by way of RNAcentral.